RNAcentral lists this ribosomal RNA (301 nucleotides) under uncultured bacterium. RNAcentral's name for it is "partial 16S ribosomal RNA". It matches the Rfam family "Bacterial small subunit ribosomal RNA", at positions 509 to 807 of the family's 1533-position model. The record is from RNAcentral.
CAGCCGCCGCGGGAAUACGAAGGGGGCUAGCGUUGUUCGGAUUUACUGGGCGUAAAGCGCACGUAGGCGGACUUUUAAGUCAGGGGUGAAAUCCCGGGGCUCAACCCCGGAACUGCCUUUGAUACUGGAAGUCUUGAGUAUGGUAGAGGUGAGUGGAAUUCCGAGUGUAGAGGUGAAAUUCGUAGAUAUUCGGAUGAACACCAGUGGCGAAGGCGGCUCACUGGACCAUUACUGACGCUGAGGUGUGAAAGCGUGGGGAGCAAACAGGAUUAGAUACCCGCGUAGUCCCUGUCUCUUAUAC